Molecule: long non-coding RNA, 1351 nt
Filed under: Rattus norvegicus (Norway rat)
Lineage: Eukaryota; Metazoa; Chordata; Mammalia; Rodentia; Muridae
Description: long non-coding RNA NONRATT026917
Source: RNAcentral
GAGAGAAGCUGCUUGAAAGUUGUCUAAUUCAGCCUUGUCAGUGGUUUAAUCACAAGGUGAUCUGAGGUGAUACAGUUAAAGUGGUUAACCAUGGAAGAUGAUCACAAGCUGCCCUCUGGAUCUUCUCCAUCGGAGCGCCCGCCUGGUGAUAAAGUCCUGUUGACUUCUGUGGCCUCCUGCUUACUCAUGUCCCAUUUCACACCCUGUGCUCCAGCUCAAUUACUUGCUGUUUACAGAUUGUUCAUGUGGUGUUGCUUCCUAACUGAUUUGCCGACAAACUGAACCUGGUCUUCUUUCUCUCCUUCAUGUCUGUCUGACCAACACCAGCUUUCAUCUUUCAAAAAUCAGUUUCUUUUACUUCCUCCAAAAACCAUUUACAUGACAUUGGCCAUGUCUUCUAGGAGUCUUCUAACAGUAUUAUAAUGGGUUUAAUAGUGCACUCCACAAAAGGUAAUGUCUGUAUGGAACCUGUACAUACAUAUGGCUUCAUUUCGAAGAAGGACAUUUUCGGGUGAAUGUAAGGACCUAUGGAUGACAUCGUCCUGGAUUAGAGUGGGCCCUAACCCCACUGACAAGUUCUUUUAAGAGAAAAGAAGGGGAAACAGAUGCAGAGGAGGUCUUGGGAGGAUAGAGGCAAAGGUAAACACCAUGUCUUGAAAUUCCCUGGACCACAAAAGCUAGAAGAGGGUCAUGGAACACUUUCUAUCAGAGCCUCUGGAAGGAACCGACCCUGCUGCUCUUUUUAUUUCAGACUUCUAUUAUGAUGACAAAAUAAGUUUCUAUUCUAAGCCACCUAGUUUGUGGUAAAUUGUUACAGUCAACCUAAGCAUUGAAUACAACUGUCUCACAAAACAGCCUGAUAUAUCACUACACUUUUCUAUCUUCUCUGAUACUCAUGAGAAGUCACAAUGUCUAGAUGCUGCAGAGACUGAGAACUUGAGAGAAGAGCCAUGUCAUAUUUCUUCAGUGUCCCCAAGCAAGGAUCUUGCAUAGUUCCUAAAUAUGGAGAUCUGCCAAGUGAGUAAUUGGAUGGAGUGCGUGAAUCCUGAUAAAUGAGAUAGAUGGAGUAAUCCUGCUGUGGCCUUUUCAGGUAACAUGGUUCACACUCUGCAUGUUGAAGAUUAAGUGGGCAAAAAAAUCUUUAACUCUAGCCUAGGGGUCAGUAGCCCAGUUGGUGGGCCAAUUCACCUCCCUCUGUACUUACACAAUCUGUGAAUUAAGAAUGAUUUUUAAAACGUUGGGGGAAUAAAGGAUAACAUGUUUUUCUAAAAGUUGAAAAAUAUUUUGUAGCAUGAGAAAAGUAUAUGAAAUUCAAACUCCAGUGUUCAUAAAUAAAAGUUUAUUGAACAUA